Molecule: ribosomal RNA, 465 nt
Filed under: Vibrio harveyi
Lineage: Bacteria; Pseudomonadati; Pseudomonadota; Gammaproteobacteria; Vibrionales; Vibrionaceae
Description: bacterial SSU rRNA
Rfam family: Bacterial small subunit ribosomal RNA
Source: RNAcentral
UCUCGCGUCAGGAUAUGCCUAGGUGGGAUUAGCUAGUUGUGAGGUAAUGGCUCACCAAGGCGACGAUCCCUAGCUGGUCUGAGAGGAUGAUCAGCCACACUGGAACUGAGACACGGUCCAGACUCCUACGGGAGGCAGCAGUGGGGAAUAUUGCACAAUGGGCGCAAGCCUGAUGCAGCCAUGCCGCGUGUGUGAAGAAGGCCUUCGGGUUGUAAAGCACUUUCAGUCGUGAGGAAGGUAGUGUAGUUAAUAGCUGCAUUAUUUGACGUUAGCGACAGAAGAAGCACCGGCUAACUCCGUGCCAGCAGCCGCGGUAAUACGGAGGGUGCGAGCGUUAAUCGGAAUUACUGGGCGUAAAGCGCAUGCAGGUGGUUUGUUAAGUCAGAUGUGAAAGCCCGGGGCUCAACCUCGGAAUAGCAUUUGAAACUGGCAGACUAGAGUACUGUAGAGGGGGGUAGAAUUUCA